UCAUUACAUACUGAAUGUGGAAGAUAAAACUAACACAUACUGAUAUAUUGAAAGUCUGGAUGAUAUAAAUCAAAGUGCGGAAAUACUAAUACAAUUUUGAAACAUAUUUGUAGCCAACAUAUUUAAUAUGAAAAGUCUGAGACUCUGUCUAACUGUUACUCUAGUCUAUGAAUCCUCUAAUAAAGUACUGAAAAUACUGACUGUCUAAAAAAAUACUGAAGACUGUAAGGUAAUGAUAAUGCACCGAAAGAAUUAGGAUCACCAAAUAGCUGGCACGAGAAUCCUAGCGCUUGGAAUCAUUAACCUGUAAUUCAUUGCCUGCAUUGUGAGAUGCAGGCCCCGGGCAAAGGGACGUCAGUACAUUUGAAUUGUACUAGUAUGUAAAGCAAUUGAAAGAAAUAAUUAUAAAUGUCGAAACUGAAACUUAGCUGAUAACUGAAAAUUUAUAAUUGAUAACUAAAAUGAUAACUAUUCAAACUGAAACUGAAAUGAUAACUGAUAACUGGUAAUUGAACUGAUAACUGAUAACUGAACUAAUAACUGGUAACUGAUAUGAUAGUUGAUAACUGAAUGGUAACUAAUAAUUGAACUGAAAAAUGUAAGGAUAUGAAUACUCCCUCUUCUAAAUGAUGAACAACCUGUUUAUCUGAAUAUUAAACUGCAGCCUCAGGCCCAAUAUAUAUAUAUGCACAAGCUGCGGCCUCGGGCCCAAGUAUACGUAUACAUAACUGCGACCUCAGGUCCAAAAUGCAUAAAGCAUAAACUGUGGCCUCAGGCCCAAAGAUGCAUAAAGCAUAAACUACGGCCUCAGGCCCAAAUACAAGUGUUCAACAUUCAGGGAUAUAAAAUCAGGAACUGGGAAUCAUACUGCAAUAUAUGAUAGUAAAAUACUGAAUCACAUUGAGUUACAUAAUACUGGAAUAUUGGAACACACUGAGUUACAUAAUACUGGAAUACUGAAUAGGACUAGACUGAGACAUGUAUUCUUGAACUAAUUAUGAACAUUGAAACUUCAACUGUUUAUGGCAUACUAAGUAAUCUAUACUAAGACUCGGGGCAUCAAACACAAGUCUAUAUUGAAUACGCACUAAGCUCACAACGUUCAGAAUGAAAGUCAUGAAAGAGUUAUGAAGCUAGAGAAUAGAAGUUCUACAACUAUUCAAGGAGCUAGGCUUAACUAUAUUUCUGAGGCAAUUGAUGCGUCGUACAAGAAACAUAGUGUAAGGAGAAUAAUUAAUAUUUCCAAACAUAGAGAGUUAGUCUUACAUAACUUAACUUCCUGUUCUUGAGCGUAAUACAACAUUCGCCAACCCUUUCAACUUCAAUCUAUAUAAAUACAAGUCAAAGGGAUUCCAUAUUUGUCAUGACCCAAACCGAUGGGCUGCGACGGGCACCCGGUACCUUACUCAACCGAGUACCAAUGUAACGUAUCUUUCUUAUUACAUCAUCAUAUACACGUGACAUACGGGCCUAAUAUGCCAACAUAAUCAUUUAUAAACUCAAAACAUAGGCCGGCAAGGCCGUACAAUCUUUCACGUACACGACAUAUGUCUACCAGCCUCUAAGAAUACAUAAGUGUCAUAUAGGUCGGGACAGAGUCCCGCCAUACCAAACAAUACUCAUCUAAAUCAUACUAACCAAAUACGCAACUCCGAAGCAAAUGGAGCGCACCACCAUCUUUCACUGAGCUGAUAGCCUACUUGGAGGGCUCUCGGCCUGUCUAUCAGGGCCUGCGGGCAUGAAACGCAGCGUCCCCAGGCAAAAGGAACGUCAGUACAAAAUAAUGUACUGAGUAUGUAAGGCAAUAUACUAAAAGCUGAAACUGAACUGAUAAUAUAAUAACUGUAAGUAGUCGGAAGUCAAAGAUAAUCUGAAGAUAUGCUUACGUGCUGAUACUGACUCAAUUCUCUCAAUAUAGUAAGUAAAAUAGUUGUCCGGCUUUAUAAGGCUUGGUAUACAUAUAUAUAUUUGCUCUGUCGUAGUAGGCUCGCUCAUAAGCUCUCGGCCAUACUAGGCUCUAUAUCUCGACCAACUGGGCUCGCUCAUAUGCGCUCGGCCACAGUAGGAUCGGUAUAUAACUUACCAUCUGAUCAGAGGUUGCCCAAUAGGGGUCUGCCCAUCGAUUAUAGCUCGAUGGUAAUAAAAAUACUUUUAAUACUGUAUAUAUGUAACUUAUCUGCUCUCUUGACUGGAAGAAGGAAAUACUCAACUGAAUAUGAAGUCUUGAUAAGAAGAAUGUGGUAAUUUACAAAACUAAGAAAAUAUUAACCUCCUGCAUGUAUUUAAAGUAGUUGCCUAUGAUAACUCUUGCAGUACUAAUCAUAUAUGAGCCUUUUGUCAACCUAAAUGCCUUUAUUUGUUUCACUUCUUUCUAGGAAUAUUAUGGAUACCUUUAAUUAAAAAGGUUUUGUUGUACAUUCAAACAUGAAAUGCAAAUUAACAAUUGGUUUUAUGAACACGCUUCCCGUUAGUAGAGGGAAAAGUAUAUAUACAGGACUACUUGUUUAAAUAGAUAAAUAUACGUAAAUUCAGGGAUAUGAAUUUUUCUCUAUACCUCUACUUUACCCAUUAUUAAUGUUGACUCCAACAGUACAUUAUUAUGUCCUAUUGUUUCAUGGGAUUAAUUGCUCGCCAACUAUUUACACGUAAGGACUACAAGUAAGAUUUUAACUAGCUUAGAGAUCUGAUUGAUUAAAUAAUAUAUAAUAAUAACCUAUAUAAUUAUGUUAAUGUCAUAUGAAAAAGCUUUCAUUUAUCCUAAGUUGCUGCUAGUACCGAACCUUUCAUUAACCUUAAAAAUUGAACAUUGCCUUAUAUGUCUUGUACAACGUAAAACAAGUAGUAGGAUGUAUUGUUAUCAAACUCAAGUAAUUACGGGGUCAUGCCAAAUGAAAGAAGAGCUUAGCCUUAACAUACCUGUUCCUGGAAUUUAUUUGAACAAUAUUGUUGUUGUUCUUUGAAUUUCCAAUCGAAUCUUGGCUAAAUAAUUUGGACGAAACAACUCUGUUCCAAGUUCUUGGAUUUUAAAAUCCACAGCAGAAUUUUUUUGAUUAACCUAUGGAACUUUGGAAGAACUAGAAAUGCCUCUUGGCUUAAAUGCCAAAGUAUUGCUUCUGCUAUUCACGUUAGUUGGUAGAAUGAUGGCCUUUGAUCCUUUAAGUGAAAUGCUUUCUGUUGUCUCAUUUUGAUUUGAUAAAGGUAACCAUAAAG
Molecule: long non-coding RNA, 3210 nt
Filed under: Nicotiana tabacum (common tobacco)
Lineage: Eukaryota; Viridiplantae; Streptophyta; Magnoliopsida; Solanales; Solanaceae
Description: long non-coding RNA (NTAB_LNC002780)
Source: RNAcentral